This 498-nucleotide ribosomal RNA is filed under the name uncultured bacterium. Its description in RNAcentral is "partial 16S ribosomal RNA". It matches the Rfam family "Bacterial small subunit ribosomal RNA", at positions 28 to 507 of the family's 1533-position model. The record is from RNAcentral.
GACGAACGCUGGCGGCGUGCCUAAUACAUGCAAGUCGAACGAGAGCGCCCGGUGCUUGCACUGGUCAAUCUAGUGGCGAACGGGUGAGUAACACGUGGGUAACCUGCCCAUCAGAGGGGGAUAACAUCCGGAAACGGAUGCUAAAACCGCAUAGGUCUUCGAGCCGCAUGGCUUGAAGAGGAAAAGAGGCGCAAGCUUCUGCUGAUGGAUGGACCCGCGGUGCAUUAGCUAGUUGGUGAGGUAACGGCUCACCAAGGCCGUGAUGCAUAGCCGACCUGAGAGGGUGAUCGGCCACAUUGGGACUGAGACACGGCCCAAACUCCUACGGGAGGCAGCAGUAGGGAAUCUUCCGCAAUGGACGCAAGUCUGACGGAGCAACGCCGCGUGAGUGAAGAAGGUUUUCGGAUCGUAAAACCCUGUUGUUAGAGAAGAACAAGUGCUAGAGUAACUGUUAGCGCCUUGACGGUAUCUAACCAGAAAGCCACGGCUAACUACGUG